AUUGAACGCUGGCGGCACGCCUUACACAUGCAAGUCGAACGGUAACAGGUCUUCGGAUGCUGACGAGUGGCGAACGGGUGAGUAAUACAUCGGAACGUGCCUAGUAGUGGGGGAUAACUACUCGAAAGAGUGGCUAAUACCGCAUGAGAUCUACGGAUGAAAGCAGGGGGUCGCAAGACCCUGUGCUACAAGAGCGGCCGAUGGCAGAUUAGGUAGUUGGUGGGAUAAAAGCUUACCAAGCCGACGAUCUGUAGCUGGUCUGAGAGGACGAUCAGCCACACUGGGACCGAGACACGGCCCAGACUCCUACGGGAGGCAGCAGUGGGGAAUUUUGGACAAUGGGCGAAAGCCUGAUCCAGCAAUGCCGCGUGCAGGAUGAAGGCCUUCGGGUUGUAAACUGCUUUUGUACGGAACGAAAAGCCCCGGGUUAAUACCCUGGGGUCAUGACGGUACCGUAAGAAUAAGCACCGGCUAACUACGUGCCAGCCGCCGCCGUAA
This 498-nucleotide ribosomal RNA is filed under the name uncultured bacterium. RNAcentral's name for it is "partial 16S ribosomal RNA". It matches the Rfam family "Bacterial small subunit ribosomal RNA", at positions 30 to 523 of the family's 1533-position model. The record is from RNAcentral.